GGAGGAUUACCCAAGUGGCUGAAGGGAACGGUCUUGAAAACCGUCAGGCGGGUAACACCGCGCGAGAGUUCGAAUCUCUCAUCCUCCU
This 88-nucleotide transfer RNA is filed under the name Loigolactobacillus bifermentans. RNAcentral describes it as "Lactobacillus bifermentans tRNA-Ser". It matches the Rfam family "tRNA". From Rfam's summary of the family: Transfer RNA (tRNA) molecules are approximately 80 nucleotides in length. Their secondary structure includes four short double-helical elements and three loops (D, anti-codon, and T loops). The record is from RNAcentral. Lineage: Bacteria; Bacillati; Bacillota; Bacilli; Lactobacillales; Lactobacillaceae. RNAcentral also lists the same sequence under 1 other name.